GACGAACGCCGGCGGCGUGCCUAAUACAUGCAAGUUGAGCGCUGAAGGUUGGUACUUGUACCAACUGGAUGAGCAGCGAACGGGUGAGUAACGCGUGGGGAAUCUGCCUUUGAGCGGGGGACAACAUUUGGAAACGAAUGCUAAUACCGCAUAAAAACUUUAAACACAAGUUUUAAGUUUGAAAGAUGCAAUUGCAACACUCAAAGAUGAUCCCGCGUUGUAUUAGCUAGUUGGUGAGGUAAAGGCUCACCAAGGCGAUGAUACAUAGCCGACCUGAGAGGGUGAUCGGCCACAUUGGGACUGAGACACGGCCCAAACUCCUACGGGAGGCAGCAGUAGGGAAUCUUCGGCAAUGGACGAAAGUCUGACCGAGCAACGCCGCGUGAGUGAAGAAGGUUUUCGGAUCGUAAAACUCUGUUGGUAGAGAAGAACGUUGGUGAGAGUGGAAAGCUCAUCAAGUGACGGUAACUACCCAGAAAGGGACGGCUAACUACGUG
RNAcentral lists this ribosomal RNA (497 nucleotides) under uncultured bacterium. RNAcentral's name for it is "partial 16S ribosomal RNA". It matches the Rfam family "Bacterial small subunit ribosomal RNA", at positions 28 to 507 of the family's 1533-position model. The record is from RNAcentral.